GGGGCUGACAUGGAUUUGACAGCAGGAGAGGUGCCUGUGUAAGCACGCAGUGAGCCGGUAACCACUCACUCUAAUCAAGGUUUCCAACGAAAUUUAUCUGGCGAAAACAAUUACGCUCUCGCUGCCUAACCGAAGCAUAGUAGGUUCUUGGCUUUAUUUCGGCACCAGGUGCUGAAACGAGAUGUCACUCUGGAGCUCUGGCUCCGAAGCGUCCAGGCAAAGUGGCACAGCAACGUCGGAGAUAGCCCGUCGCAGCCUCGCGCGAGCGGGUGAAAACUUAGAGGAUAAGGCGAAGGUUGGUGGCCCAGGUCUUGCCUCCGCUCGAAAAUGCAGGCUGGGAUAAGCGUGUAGAAAGCAUUGGUCGUCCCUGUUUGGACGAGGGUUCAAUCCCCUCCAGCUCCACU
This 404-nucleotide transfer-messenger RNA is filed under the name bovine gut metagenome. It matches the Rfam family "transfer-messenger RNA". From Rfam's summary of the family: Bacterial tmRNA, also known as 10Sa RNA or SsrA, is named for its dual tRNA and mRNA-like properties. Its role is to liberate the mRNA from a stalled ribosome. The record is from RNAcentral.